GGACAGCCAACGGCUGUCCGUGCAUGCUGGGAGUUGUAGUCUUGCAGCAGCUAUUGCUUAUAUACAGCUAUAGAGUACUUGGUGAAUUCCUAUAUAUAACGCUAUAUAAUGAUGGUUCUUCUCCUCCACAGACUUGAAGAUGGAUUUACUUAUCCUGGGGGUGGGGCUGAUCUGGGCGGCCUUGAUAAUGAUUAUUCUAGUGCUGUAUUUUUGCACCCGAAGGAGGAAAUAAAGUACUCCAGACUGGAAGAGGUGGUAGUGGAGGUGAAAGAAGGGACCGAAAAAGAAAAAAAAGCAGAUGACCUGAAGCAGAUGGAGGCGGACGGCGCAGAGUGAUCUGAUCUGCAGUGAAUGCGAACAGCAGGGAGUUUGGGGAAAGUGAAAAAAACAACAAAAAGGAGUAAAAAAAAUCUAAAAUAUAUAAAGAUAAUUUAAAAAAUAUAAAAUAAUCUGAAAGUAAUAAAAAAUAUAUAAAAUAAUCUAAAAAUAUAUGAAAAAAUAAAUAAAUAAGAAAAGUUAUGGUAGUAUGUGUGUAUGUUUGUGGGUGUGGGGACUAAGCUCCCAAUAGGGGUGAUGGGGAAAGUGUUGGGGGGGGGUGGUAAAGAUUAAAGGGGUCCCCCGGCCCUAAGACAUCUUAUCCCCUAUCCAAAGGUCGCUGGGGACCCCUGCAAUCUCUCAUGCAGGCACCCACCUGUGGCAGCUGCACAGAGCGAUGUACGCUCCGUGUCUGAAGGGUCAUGGCUACGGGGCCGUAGUUUUCUGACCUCACGACUAUGCCCCCUUGUGACGUCACACCUCGCCCCGCCCUCAAUGCAAGUCUAUGGGAGGGCGUGUUGAUGCGCAAUGUGCGAGUAUACUGCCCAUGCGUGUGGCAACUCACACAUCGCAGCAGUGUGGCUGUUCUGAACAGGCACAUCUGAGUCACCCAGCAGGAGUCCAUCGGUGGCGUAAAAUACGCUGUGGAUCUUCUCGACUGAACAUACCCUUAACCCCUUAAGGAUGGCGGGCGUAUGCAUACGCUCCCCUUUUAAAGUACUUAAGGACUGAGGGCGUAUAGGUACGGCGGGAACCGGUCCGGGAUGCCUGCUGAAAUCAUUCACCAGGCAUCUUGGCACAUCGCAAAGGGGGAUCCUGAGACCCCCACAUGUUAGCGAUCGCUGCAGAUCGCCGGUAAAUACUAACCAGUGAUCUGCGGCAGUUCCGGGUCAUCUGGGUCAGGUGUGACCCAAUGACCCAGAUAAUGAUGAUGACCGGUGGUGUAAUAUACACCACCAAUCAUCAUCCAUACAGUACUGGGGGGCGGCACUGUUGCCACCCUCCAGUACAGCAGUGAUUGAGCGGCCGCAGUGAUCGCACAUAUCACUGCAGUAUGGGGAGGGGGAGGUGGGUGCAGGAGCAUGUUGCUCCAUUCUGCCCACCAUUUCCUAGAGAUCUGGUGUGCAGGACGGAGCCCUGUACUGCCAUUGCCCCCCCUCACACUCCAAAAAGUGUUAAAAAGUGCCCCCUUGCCCCCUAAUUUAGAUCAGACCCUCAAAUGAAUGCAGAUCCUAGAUUUGAACCCCUUUAUUAAUUCAGAGCCCCCAUUAGACACCAGAUCAGACCCCGAAAUGUAGAGUAUUUGAUGAAUUCCUAUAUAUAACUCUAUAUAAUGAUGGUUCUUCUCUUCCACAGACUUGAAGAUGGAUUUACUUAUCCUGGGGGUGGGGCUGAUCUGGGCGGCCUUGAUAAUGAUUAUUCUUGUGCUGUAUUUUUGCACCCGGAAUAAUAAUAAGGAGGAAAUAAAGUACUCCAGACUGGAAGAGGUGGUAGUGGAGGCAAAAGGAGGGAGCAAAAAAGAAAAAAAAGCAGAUGACCUGAAGCAGAUGGAGGCGGACGGAGCAGAGUGAUCUGAUCUGCAGUGGAUGCGAACAGCUGGGAGUUUGGGGAAAGGGAAAAAUAAAAAAAGGGAGUAAAAAAAAAAUCUGAAAUACAUAAAAAGAAUAAAAAAAAUAUAAAAUGAUCUGAAAAUAAUCAAAAAAUAUAAAAUAAUCAAAAAAUAUAUGAAAAAAAAAAUAAAAUAAAAAAAUAAGAUAAGUUGUGGUAGAAUGUGUGUAUGUUUGUCGGCAUGGGGCCCUAAGACAUCUUAUCCCCUAUCAAAAAGUCGCUGGGGACCCCCACAAUCUCUCAA
This is a long non-coding RNA of Hyla sarda, 2167 nucleotides long. RefSeq lists it as uncharacterized. The transcript is spliced from 5 exons. NCBI's taxonomy places the organism in Eukaryota, Metazoa, Chordata, Amphibia, Anura, Hylidae. The record is from RefSeq and is a predicted model, not a curated record.